ACGAAGACGGACCUGGUUCCACGCCACCUCGAUCCCCUCCUCCUGAUCGAACCCCCGGUAGACCCGCUUCACGGCGCCGGUCCCAAGCAGGUCGUCGUACCGCCCGUAUCGUCCCGUGGGGUCCAUCUCCACGAACGGCUCCGCAUCCAUGGCCGCCGGAUCAGGUCUCACGAACGGCAUCCCGAUCAAAAAAAGAGAACCCUUGACUUUUCACUCUUCUUUCACGCCUCCCAGCCGUUCGACCAAAAAGCCCGAACGCGAUGGGGAUCCCAAGAAGAGAUCGGACGGAGUCCUUCGAUCAGAUGAAAACCAGGACGAAACAGAUCACGAGGAAAUACGAGGUUCUUGAUUCUUUGAGGUAUUGAUUAGUCGAAGCCAUCGAAGAUUCAAUCAGCAGAGCUACAAAAACACAUGAAGAACCCCAAACAAAGAAAGAACAGAUCAAUAGAAAGAACAAGAUCACAGCUUAGGAACAGAAUCCCCAUGGCGAUGGGGAACUGCUUCGAGAAGCAAAAGCCCCGCAUAAUCUUGACAUGAAACGGAAAGAACAGGGAAAAUUAAAGCACCAAAGGGAGCGGCCGGGAUCGGUACCUUAGGACUAUCAUCUAGAGCAGAGCGGGGCGGCGGAGAAAUCAAGACGAGGGAGGAAGCGGCUCGCGGUGGAAUCCUCGCAGAGGCGGUGCGGAGAGCGUUCCACCUGGGGAUGCGGGAGAGGUAGAGCGCAGCCGAUUGCUU
This 735-nucleotide long non-coding RNA is filed under the name Musa acuminata (dwarf banana). RNAcentral describes it as "long non-coding RNA (MACU_LNC000751)". Lineage: Eukaryota; Viridiplantae; Streptophyta; Magnoliopsida; Zingiberales; Musaceae. The record is from RNAcentral.